Molecule: non-coding RNA, 73 nt
Organism: Dryococelus australis
Lineage: Eukaryota; Metazoa; Arthropoda; Insecta; Phasmatodea; Phasmatidae
Source: the annotation of a GenBank genome assembly
GUCUCUGUGGUGUAGCGGUUAUCAUGCCCACCUAACCCGCAGAAGGAUCUCGGUUUGAUCCCGGCCAGAAACU